This 508-nucleotide ribosomal RNA is filed under the name uncultured bacterium. RNAcentral describes it as "partial 16S ribosomal RNA". It matches the Rfam family "Bacterial small subunit ribosomal RNA", at positions 28 to 507 of the family's 1533-position model. The record is from RNAcentral.
GACGAACGCUGGCGGCGUGCCUAAUACAUGCAAGUCGAACGCUUCUUUCCUCCCGAGUGCUUGCACUCAAGUGGAAAGAGGAGUGGCGGACGGGUGAGUAACACGUGGGUAACCUACCCAUCAGAGGGGGAUAACACUUGGAAACAGGUGCUAAUACCGCAGAACAGUUUAUGCCGCAUGGCAUAAGAGUGAAAGGCGCCGUCGGGUGGCGCUGAUGGAUGGACCCGCGGUGCAUUAGCUAGUUGGUGAGGUAACGGCUCACCAAGGCCACGAUGCAUAGCCGACCUGAGAGGGUGAUCGGCCACACUGGGACUGAGACACGGCCCAGACUCCUACGGGAGGCAGCAGUAGGGAAUCUUCGGCAAUGGACGAAAGUCUGACCGAGCAACGCCGCGUGAGUGAAGAAGGUUUUCGGAUCGUAAAACUCUGUUGUUAGAGAAGAACAAGGACGUUAGUAACUGAACGUCCCCUGACGGUAUCUAACCAGAAAGCCACGGCUAACUACGUG